RNAcentral lists this ribosomal RNA (876 nucleotides) under Amanita fritillaria. RNAcentral describes it as "eukaryotic LSU rRNA". It matches the Rfam family "Eukaryotic large subunit ribosomal RNA", at positions 69 to 932 of the family's 3401-position model. Lineage: Eukaryota; Fungi; Basidiomycota; Agaricomycetes; Agaricales; Amanitaceae. The record is from RNAcentral.
CAAGGAUUCCCUUAGUACCUGCGAGUGAAGAGGGAAAAGCUCAAAUUUAAAAUCUGGCAGCAUUUUGUUGUCCGAGUUGUAACCUAGAGAAGUGUAACCUGUGCUGGACCGUGUAUAAGUUUCCUGGAAUGGAGCAUCACAGAGGGUGAGAAUCCCGUCUUUGACAUGGACUACCAGUGCAUUGUGGUUGUGCUCUCAACGAGUCGAGUUGUUUGGGAAUGCAGCUCUAAAUGGGUGGUAAAUUCCAUCUAAAGCUAAAUAUUGGCGAGAGACCGAUAGCGAACAAGUACCGUGAGGGAAAGAUGAAAAGAACUUUGGAAAGAGAGUUAAACAGUAUGUGAAAUUGUUGAAAGGGAAACGUUUGAAGUCAGUCGCGUUAGCUGGGGAUCAGCCUGACAUUGUUGGGUGCACUUCCUGGUUGACGGGCCAACAUCAGUUUUGACUGCCAGAAAAAGGCCAAGGGAAUGUGGCACCUUUGGGUGUGUUAUAGCCUUUGGUCAUAUAUGGUGGUUGGGACUGAGGAAUGCAGUGUGCCGAAAGGCCGGGUUUCGACCACGUUCACACUGAGGAUGUUGGCAUAAUGGCUUUAAGCGACCCGUCUUGAAACACGGACCAAGGAGUCUAACAUGCAUGCGAGUGUUUGGGUGGAAAACCCUUACGCGUAAUGAAAGUGAAAGUUGAGAUCCCUGUCAUGGGGAGCAUCGACGCCCGGACCAGAACUUUUGGGACGGAUCUGCGGUAGAGCACGUAUGUUGGGACCCGAAAGAUGGUGAACUAUGCCUGAAUAGGGUGAAGCCAGAGGAAACUCUGGUGGAGGCUCGUAGCGAUUCUGACGUGCAAAUCGAUCGUCAAAUUUGGGUAUAGGGGCGAAAGACU